UGCGUAGGCGGAUCAAUAAGUCAGUGGUGAAAUCUCUCGGCUCAACCGGGAAACUGCCAUUGAUACUGUUGAUCUUGAGUUCGGUUGAGGUAGGCGGAAUGUGUAAUGUAGCGGUGAAAUGCUUAGAUAUUACACAAAACACCAAUUGCAUAGGCAGCUUACUAGACCGACACUGACGCUGAGGCACGAAAGCGUGGGGAGCGAACAGGAUUAGAUACCCUGGUAGUC
RNAcentral lists this ribosomal RNA (228 nucleotides) under uncultured bacterium. RNAcentral describes it as "partial 16S ribosomal RNA". It matches the Rfam family "Bacterial small subunit ribosomal RNA", at positions 568 to 795 of the family's 1533-position model. The record is from RNAcentral.